UGAUACACCCGUCCUUGGAUGGUAAAA
Molecule: small RNA, 27 nt
Filed under: Bombyx mori (domestic silkworm)
Lineage: Eukaryota; Metazoa; Arthropoda; Insecta; Lepidoptera; Bombycidae
Description: ovarian small RNA-32372
Source: RNAcentral